GGGCGCGAGCGCGGCGCCGGGGGCGGGCUGGGGCGCGGGGCCCGGGGCUGGCCGCUUGCCAGCGCUCCCUCCCUAGCAUGCGCACGGAGGCGGCGGGCGGCGCGGCGCGGAGGCCCCAGAAGCCGCGAAGCCAAGCAGCGGCACCUGCCUGCCGAGGUACGUGGCGCAGCCCCCAGUCAGCAGAGCGGACCUCGGGGAACCCAGGCAGCAGCGAUCCGCCUUUGCCCACUCAUACCCCAGGCCCAGCAGCUCCUCCCCAGCCCUGAGACGCCGGACGCGCCUGCGAGGGGACGCCGGCGGAGGGUCGCGACCCCGGGCCGCCUAUAUGGGCGCCCCCGGCGCAGCCUGUCGAGGUGUGAACGCGGUGCUGUGGCAAUGCCAAAUGAGUUCACCUCUGCAAAGCUGAGAAGUGAUUGCUCAAGGACCUCCCUGCAAUGGUACACCCAGACCCAGCACAAGAUGAGAAGACCCAGCUUGUUAUUAAAAGACAUCCUCAAAGAGCUCAUAGAAACACUCAGGAAGUCUUUCAGAAGGAAUGUCGUCCUGGGCACGCGAAGAAAACUAUGGAUCUGUUAUUUAAGGGCAAGUACAGCAUGGACUUGGAGCCUUUCGUGCAGAAGAUCCCCACAGCCAGUGAAGCUGAGCUCAAGUAUGACCCGCCUUUUGGAUUCCGGAAGUUCUCCAGUAAAGUCCAGAGCCUCUUGGAUAUGCUGCCUGAGCACGACUUUCCUGAACACUUGAGAGCCAAGCACUGCAAGCGCU
RNAcentral lists this long non-coding RNA (762 nucleotides) under Rattus norvegicus (Norway rat). RNAcentral's name for it is "long non-coding RNA NONRATT020555". The record is from RNAcentral. Lineage: Eukaryota; Metazoa; Chordata; Mammalia; Rodentia; Muridae.